GGAAUAUCCAAGAAUAUCCCAGUGCACCACAUACAUGGUUAAAGAGAUCAAAGUCUGUUGUUGAAUUGAGGAAAGAAGAGAGCCCACCAUUUGUACUAAAGGAUGACAUAGACACCAACCUGAAACAGCUGAGGUACCAGAAGAAGAAGGAGCUGGAGCACCAGCUUGCCAGACAAAGGGCCACACUUGAACCCACCUUCAAGAGCAGCUUGGAAACUCUGAAAGAGUCUGACAGUUUGAAAUACUUGUCCUUUUCUCUUGUUGAAGCAUCAAGAAAAGCUGGAUUUUCCUACAUUGUAUACCCUAGGAAAAAGAAGGGACUAUGGAAAAAGAAAGGAUUGAAAUUCCAGAAGCUUGCACUUGUAUAUGAAUAUCUGUC
RNAcentral lists this long non-coding RNA (379 nucleotides) under Cricetulus griseus (Chinese hamster). RNAcentral describes it as "lncRNA (ENSCGRG00000024161.1)". Lineage: Eukaryota; Metazoa; Chordata; Mammalia; Rodentia; Cricetidae. The record is from RNAcentral.